Molecule: long non-coding RNA, 696 nt
Organism: Trichomycterus rosablanca
Lineage: Eukaryota; Metazoa; Chordata; Actinopteri; Siluriformes; Trichomycteridae
Exons: 5
Source: RefSeq, a predicted model, not a curated record
GGUAGAUAGAUAGAUAGACAGACCUUGGUAAGUGUUCUUAUGAUUAAAUCAGAUGUUUGAUGAUUAAAUCUGUGUAAGAAUGUAUUUGUAUUUUUUACCCAUUAUACAGAACGUGAUGCACUGCUUUGUAUGACUGUAUAUCUCUACAUUUUGAGUCUGAUGGCACGAAUAUUACUGUCCAUCGAUUUAUCAGAACGUAAGUUUGUGUACAUGUUUGGUGCAGUGGCUCUGAUUAUUGUGAACACUGUUGCUUUGUUAGUCGAGCUGAUCCUAAAAGCACGAAAUGGUGAACGAAAUGUGAAGGAUCUGACAGUUGUUGUUCUACCAUGUGAAAGUGUCCUCGUCUUUUGCUGUUACCUGUUAAAUUUAAAAAGAGUCUGGCAUAUUUUAGCUGAAAGAAGAAAUGAAAGAAAACAAAGGAAGGCACUUCGGGCUCAGCCGUUGCUUUAGGAACCUUCAUCCUUCCUCAUGGAUCAGCCUGUCUGCAACCAAUCAGCCCCACCACCACACCCAUUACCCUCAUCAGGACCCACAGAUACAGCAGCCAACCCACAGAGAGCACCAUACAAUACAAUCUGGGUCCUCUGCAACAAGAUUAGCCAGGACUGAUCUGACUAACAAUGGGCUCAGAAAUUGUUGGGACAAGCUGCAGUUAAUAAACACUAUUUAUUAAAAACAUAAAAUAUUUAAUAUGCA